GAGGGGGGCUUGCUAGCAACAAGAACUGCUAAUUCUCGUCCCCUCGGUUGGAUUCCGGAGCCCUCUCG
This 68-nucleotide transfer RNA is filed under the name Acanthogobius lactipes. RNAcentral describes it as "tRNA-Ser". The record is from RNAcentral. Lineage: Eukaryota; Metazoa; Chordata; Actinopteri; Gobiiformes; Gobiidae.